AUGUCUUUAGAGAACAGUGCCCUAUCCAGCAGGAUAUAUUGUCUCAUAUGUGUCAGGUGUUUUUGUUGUUGUUGUUGUUUCUUUCAAUUUCCAUUAUUUACCCCUCAAGGAAGAAAAUAUUGGACAGGUCCUACAAACCCCAAAGAGCCUUCAGGACUCUGCCCUAUUUUUAGUUAUUCACACACCUUUUCCAGUCUGUUACUUCCUUCCCUGAAUGUUCAUUCUGUGCCAAAAGGGUUGUAAUGAUCAGUGGCAAUACAUGAGAUGACAACCAGACCAUUAACACAGAAUGAACAUUCAGGGAAGGAAGUAACAGACUGGAAAAGGUGUGUGAAUAACUAAAAAUAGGGCAGAGUCCUGAAGGCUCUUUGGGGUUUGUAGGACCUGUCCAAUAUUUUCUUCCUUGAGGGGUAAAUAAUGGAAAUUGAAAGAAACAACAACAACAACAAAAACACCUGACACAUAUGAGACAAUAUAUCCUGCUGGAUAGGGCACUGUUCUCUAAAGACAUUUUACUAUAAAACUUUUUUCAUAAAACUAUUGUUACGUUCUUUGUCUAGGCGAGUAUCGAACGCAACAAGAAGUUGGCCCACCCACACACCACCCAACUAAGUACACAAACCACAAUAUCUUCUAAAAGUGCUAAGCAGCCAUUUAUUUUGCUUCAGCUGUGAGCAGUGCCAAAAAUAACAAACAAAACUCCCUACUGGUCCCUAUGCUUUCCUACACAAAAUAAAAACCAACCAAAAGACAAUCCACUUACCUAACUUUCUAACAAAAACAGGAGAAAACUUAAUCAACAAAAAUGGCUUCUCACGCCUACUAUGCUGCUGCAGUGAAGGAUAUAUACACAAGGUGAACAAAAUGUACGAUCGCUACUUGACAAGACUAUUUACAACUAUUUACAAAACUAAGACACUAACACCAAACACACGAGUGGAACAUGGUGGAUACACAGACGGACCAGCCAGCACAAAGACAGAAGACGCGACUUAAAUACACACAGAGAAACACAAGGAGAUUACACACAGGUGGGGAACACAGCUGGGAAUAAUCAACCAGACGAGACAGAGGUAAAACUGAACACACUCACAUGAGACGCAGACCUUCACAAUAAAACAGGAAACGAGAACACUACACCAAGACGAAGACCUGACACUGAGAGACAGAAUGACACAUGGACCCUGAACUAAACUAAACGUAAGAUACAACCGAGAACAAAAUCCUUAAACAUGACAUAAAACACUGACAACAUUAAAUCAUAACAUUAUACCCUUUAAAUGUUUAUGUAUUUUUAAAUAAUGGAAAUAAAGCUGCAACACCUUCCAUCUUAUGUCAGAAACAUUUGAGGUUGACAGUAUUUUAUGAGAACAAACCUUUGAUUGUGCACACUCAUUCCUGAAAUGAAACUGCCUCUUCCUGUGCCACGAACAGUAAACAUCAGCCGUGCAACCUCCACAUUUUCCCAUCCGUGGUUGCAACGAAUCCUGAAAACAAAGAAAAGUACCUCAAAACAUUCGAAGCUUUAAACAAACUUAGAUCUGAUAAUAAAGAACAACUUAUGCCUUAAUCAGAGUGUUUUUAAAAAAUGUAAAAGAAUCCUUAAAAUCUUUGAUUGCUACUGCUCUAGAAGGCAUAAAAAAAAAAAAAAAAAUUGUCUCAUGAAUGCACUUUCCAGCAUGUGUCAGUAUGAAGUUUAAUUUAACACAGCUGUUAAAACAUUUUUCAGGAUUUACCGGGUUGGUAACAAUUAUUUAGAUUUAUUGAAUUUAUAGGAAAUUACACAAGUGCCAUCUUGUAUCAUUAUGAUCUGUGUAAAGAGACAAGUUUAAGAAUAUUUUUGCAAAAAUACGUUAAAGUUGGAAGUAAUUGGCCGAUGUUCCAAUCUUGAAGAUCAGCUGUGCCCAUUUGUUGCACAUUGUGGGAAUGGAGAAGUUGAGGCCCUUGCAGGCUACCCACAAUUUUCCCCAAACUGAGCGACCCAGCUAAUUCAACACCUUUACCAAGCAGUGCUGUUAUGUAAUUGGAUACAAGGGGUGAGACAGUAAUAUUUUCCCUCCUUGGUUGUAGCUCCCUGACAUUACAAGGGUAAUCAUUUUAUGAUGUCGGGUUCAGUGUUACACCAGGAUUUCAAAUACAAUAUCAUCAUCAAUAAGAAUUAGUAUUAUCAUUUCAGAAUUGUAGGUAACCACUUUUAAAUGCCAUAGACUACUUAUUUGUUUAAUUUGAUGUAUUCUCUCUAGGAGAAAGCAGAGGGAAUAUCCCGUUUAACUUAUGCUAUCUGUUUAAGUUUAGAUUUGUAAAGAUAUUGACCAUAUCCUUUUCUGAAAGUGUGGAUAUAAUGGAUGGGGUAAGGUACUGUCAUGCCACAACUUUAUAGUUGUUAAAUUCUGGGUACAAGUAUACAUGCCCAUCUUGUACAUGUUUUUUAAUAUUAUUAUCAUCAUCAUCAUCACCACCACCAUCCUACCCAAUUACAUGUUUCUUUUAAUCAGGUUGUGCUGUUUUAAUGACUUUACAGUAUAAUUUACAUCGUGUUCCUUCAAUUUUCCCUAAUUGUAUGUUAUAUUAAUCCCAUAUUUCCGUUUUAAUAUUUCUAAUGUUUGCAUUGUUUUCUUCACUGCCUGGUCUGCCUCUGUCUCGCCUGUAUGGAUGCAUUUACACCUAAAUUUCCCCAACAAAUGAUGUUUUAAUUCACAACUAUUCCAGUGAAACACGAGUCUCCCAUCUUACUGAUACCGGUCUCGAGUUUUUGGUCACCAAAGCACACACCAACUUCAUACUGACGGACAUAUCACUGCCCUAUUCCCGCCUUGUCUGACCGUGUUUUGUGGCUUUGGUUCACUUUACCUCACUCUUCCCCAUUCUUGUCAUUAAAUCAGGCCGUUCUGCAACCAUGGCAGCCAUUCACUCUAUGGCUUUAUUCAUGGUGUAUUUUACCCCUUCACCAAAUGCCGUUCUCGUUUCCCACAUUAUAUUUGCAGUGUUCGUCUAUCUAUCAACAUCUGUGGAGUAUGGUUUUGUACCGAGUAUCCUAUUUUGUAGAGCACAGCAUGUAAAGGUUAGCUCGGUUAGCAGGAUGGUAGCAUGUAGCGCUUAGUGAGACACGCAUCAGACGAGUUGAGCAAAGACCCCGUCUGUGUACUUUAUACGUGACCAACGGAUUUAAAUAAAAUUAACGUUUCAAAAGACAAACUUGAAGAUAAAACAUAAUAUACUUACCGGAGAACCGCCAGGGUUUGCCGCUCCUGAAUUCAAAACUGCCUCUGCAGACAGGCAGGGGAGGCGCGGAAAUUUUCUUUGAGUUAGUCAAACGUUUUCCUCAGUUCGAGUAGAUGAUAAAAUAAAAGAAAAAUGAAUGGGAUUUUAAGUAGGACUAGGCGUCCUGUAAUGAUCUUUAUUUAGGAGAAAAACUUAAUCCCUCACCUCUAAACAGCUAUCUUCUAGGAGACACACUGCUGGCUAACGAUGUCAUGUGAUCAAACAGCGUAAUUUAAUUGGCUGAGAGCCGCUCGACUCGAUCUAGUGCUGAUUGCUCUGGCUUGGGUCAUUUAAGUUCAUCACUUUUGCAGUUGAAUUUUUGCAGGUGAAUUUUUGCAGGUGAAUUUUUUGCUGGUGAAUAUUUGACGGUGAAUUUUUUGCAGGUGAAUUUUUUUCAGGUGAAUAUUUGCAGGUGAAUUUUUUGCAGGUGAAUUUUUGCAGGUGAAUUUUUUGCAGGUGAAUAUUUGAUGGUGAAUUUUUUGCAGGUGAAUUUUUGCAGGUGAAUUUUUGCAGUUGAAUUUUUUGCAGGUGAAUUUUUUGCAGGUGAAUUUUUGCAGGUGAAUAUUUUUGCAGGGAAAUUUGGAGGAUAAAAAUUCAGUGUUAUAAAUUCGAUGUCUAAAAAUAGUUGGAUUCUGAUGAUACUAUAUUUCUUCCAUAAAUAUCCUAUUAGAGCGAUUAGAACAAGCUGUAGGUAUUACAGCUACUGCACUGCAGUGGUUUGUAUCAUAUCUAUCUAAUAGACUCCAAUUUGUUCAAGUAAAUGAAGAGUCCUCUUCACACACUAAGGUCUAUUAUGGUGUUCCUCAGGGUUCAGUGCUAGGAC
This is a long non-coding RNA of Oreochromis niloticus (Nile tilapia), 4084 nucleotides long. The record is from Ensembl. Lineage: Eukaryota; Metazoa; Chordata; Actinopteri; Cichliformes; Cichlidae.